Molecule: ribosomal RNA, 381 nt
Filed under: uncultured bacterium
Lineage: Bacteria
Description: bacterial SSU rRNA
Rfam family: Bacterial small subunit ribosomal RNA
Source: RNAcentral
AUUGAACGCUGGCGGCAGGCCUAACACAUGCAAGUCGAGCGGAUGAGUGGAGCUUGCUCCAUGAUUCAGCGGCGGACGGGUGAGUAAUGCCUAGGAAUCUGCCUGGUAGUGGGGGACAACGUUUCGAAAGGAACGCUAAUACCGCAUACGUCCUACGGGAGAAAGCAGGGGACCUUCGGGCCUUGCGUUAUCAGAUGAGCCUAGGUCGGAUUAGCUAGUAGGUGAGGUAAUGGCUCACCUAGGCGACGAUCCGUAACUGGUCUGAGAGGAUGAUCAGUCACACUGGAACUGAGACACGGUCCAGACUCCUACGGGAGGCAGCAGUGGGGAAUAUUGGACAAUGGGCGAAAGCCUGAUCCAGCCAUGCCCGCGUGUGUGAAG